RNAcentral lists this ribosomal RNA (357 nucleotides) under uncultured bacterium. RNAcentral describes it as "bacterial SSU rRNA". It matches the Rfam family "Bacterial small subunit ribosomal RNA", at positions 8 to 353 of the family's 1533-position model. The record is from RNAcentral.
AGAGUUUGAUCAUGGCUCAGGAUGAACGCUAGCUACAGGCUUAACACAUGCAAGGUCGAGGGGCAGCAUUUCAGUUUGCUUGCAAACUGGAGAUGGCGACCGGCGCACGGGUGAGUAACACGUAUCCAACCUGCCGAUAACUCGGGGAUAGCCUUUCGAAAGAAAGAUUAAUACCCGAUGGUAUAAUUAGACCGCAUGGUCUUAUUAUUAAAGAAUUUCGGUUAUCGAUGGGGGAUGCGUUCCAUUAGGCAGUUGGUGAGGUAACGGCUCACCAAACCUUCGAUGGAUAGGGGUUCUGAGAGGAAGGUCCCCCACAUUGGAACUGAGACACGGUCCAAACUCCUACGGGAGGCAGCA